UACGGAGGAUGCGAGCGUUAUCCGGAUUUAUUGGGUUUAAAGGGUGCGCAGGCGGAUUUUUAAGUCAGCGGUCAAAUCGUGGGGCUCAACCCCAUCCAGCCGUUGAAACUGGGGAUCUAGAGUGUGCGAGAGGUAUGCGGAAUGCGUGGUGUAGCGGUGAAAUGCAUAGAUAUCACGAAGAACUCCGAUUGCGAAGGCAGCUUACCAGUCUGCGACUGACGCUCAGGCACGAAAGUGUGGGUAUCGAACAGG
RNAcentral lists this ribosomal RNA (252 nucleotides) under uncultured Bacteroidales bacterium. Its description in RNAcentral is "partial 16S ribosomal RNA". It matches the Rfam family "Bacterial small subunit ribosomal RNA", at positions 524 to 776 of the family's 1533-position model. Lineage: Bacteria; Pseudomonadati; Bacteroidota; Bacteroidia; Bacteroidales. The record is from RNAcentral.